UUUUUUUUCUUUGAAAUAUGUAAUUAUUAUGCUUUGAACGUAUAUUAAUUUCUUUAUCUUUUCUUUGCAUGCAAAAAAUAUCUCGAGUUUAAAUAGACUCCUCUCCUCUUGCAUUUCGUAAUGGAUCAAUGAGGCUCACCUCUUCGAGUAAAGUUCGAAGUUUAAAUCAAGGUCCACUACAUAGCGUGCGGGUGCUUGAAGAUAGACGAAGAAGGAAAAUGGAUCCAAAUCCAUUGAUGAGG
RNAcentral lists this long non-coding RNA (242 nucleotides) under Capsicum annuum. RNAcentral's name for it is "long non-coding RNA (CANN_LNC003133)". Lineage: Eukaryota; Viridiplantae; Streptophyta; Magnoliopsida; Solanales; Solanaceae. The record is from RNAcentral.